Molecule: long non-coding RNA, 911 nt
Filed under: Homo sapiens (human)
Lineage: Eukaryota; Metazoa; Chordata; Mammalia; Primates; Hominidae
Description: HSALNT0330208
Source: RNAcentral
CUCCUGGCAACCGCUGGUCUGCUCUUCAUCGCCCUAGCUUUGUCUUUCAAGAAUGCUGUGUAAAUGGAAUCAUACAACACAUAACCUUUUGAGACUGGCUUCUUUCACUCAGUUGUUCCAUGUAUCAGUGGUGUCUGUCCGAAUUCUUGGGGAAGCUGAGGAAACCAGGGCUGUGACUGUAAUAUUCUGCUGUACCUAUGAUCUGUGCCCAUGAUGCUCUGCUGUAUCCAUGAUGCUGUGCCCAUGAUGCCAUGUCAUGCUCUCUGUACCUUGCCAUGCCUGUGACACUAUGCCCUCUCCCUGGGAUUCUGCAGUCUUCCUGGCUGCUCUAGAAGCCAGGGAGAUUCCACCCCAUGUAAAAUGCUCCUGGGGUGGCCUGCUGACCUGGAUUCUCCUCUCAACAUCUUGAGCCCAACCACCUCUGCUGUCAAACUACACAUGGCCCAGGUGACUUCUCUCACAAAUGGGAGAGGGAAUCAGAGCAUUUCAUAGUCAGAGCAGAGGCCCUGGGGAGAUGCCCAUCUGCAGCAGACUUGGGACAACUGAUCCAAUUCAAGUCCAUCAUUGUGCAGAGUGGGAUUGUGAGCCUCAGAGUGGAGAGAAGAUUCAUCCAACUGUGGGUUCGGUGCCAGCCAGAGUGGGACUCCACCCUGACUCCCAGUUCAGAGCUCAUUUUGGUGGGGGGUCCUGAAGUUCUACCAUCAUAGUUACCCCUUGCUUGGGUCUCCAAAAUGUCCCUGUUCCAAUGUAUAUCUGUUACUUAAAUAACACAUUUGCAACAUAGCUAUCAGAGGGGUUGGUUUUUAUUUAGAAAGAAGCUAAUAAGUUAUAUUUUAUUUAUUAUAAAGACAAAAUUGUAACAGCACAAAUGAAAAUAUUAUUAAUAAAAGAAAUUCUUUCUGCCACCCUAA